This is a long non-coding RNA of Esox lucius (northern pike), 486 nucleotides long. RefSeq lists it as uncharacterized. The transcript is spliced from 2 exons. The record is from RefSeq and is a predicted model, not a curated record. Lineage: Eukaryota; Metazoa; Chordata; Actinopteri; Esociformes; Esocidae.
AAUUUCUGACAUGCUUAUUAUUAAAAAUAAUUUUAUUUUUUGUUACAUGUGUCGUUACCAAGCAGAAUCUAUGCUUCUAACCACCACACCUUCAAAGAAAAAGAAAGGGUAGGCUACAGGAUGUUCUUUCCGAUGUUGGUGUGCAAUUCGAUAUGAAACAUCACUUAAUGCAUUAGGCUUGCUGUGGCAUAUUAGCAGGUGAUGUUUUACAUAAAUCACAUUUACAGAUGAUUUCCUUUUUCCCCAGAGCUGCAAGAAAUGAAACAGAGACCACCGAAGAGGAAAACCUUCUGAUCCUACAUAGCCUGGCUGCAGCUGACUGGUGCAAUCAGGCAACAUUCAGUGGAAGACUGAAACUCCCUGCUGUCCUUUCAAUGGACAGAGAAGAAAGAAAAGAGGCCAUCCAGGAGAUGGACACCUGGGAUGGGGAACUGGAUCAGGAUUCUCCAGCAGAACUCUUCACAUUCGUUUUUGAAAAAAAAAAAA